Molecule: long non-coding RNA, 1293 nt
Filed under: Phascolarctos cinereus (koala)
Lineage: Eukaryota; Metazoa; Chordata; Mammalia; Diprotodontia; Phascolarctidae
Description: lncRNA (ENSPCIG00000031461.1)
Source: RNAcentral
UGCCUCUCACCAUAAUAAACUGAACUUGUCAUAGAAAGUUCUGGCUCUGUUUGUCCAUAUUGGUUUAGAGUUUGAGAAAUGAAUUAGAAAUAAUAUAGCAAUUGGCUGAUUAUAAAGAUGAGGCCAUGGACAUCAAAUCAUUCUACCACAUGUUCCUUUUUAAUAAACACAUUAAGAUCUUUUUUUUUCCAUUUGUCCAAUUUUGUUGACUAACAUGAUAGACAGGAACUUUCAGAGAACCAUCAGACCAAUUUUCACAACCUGCUGCAACAUUUGCAUUUCACAAAAAUAAUCCUGACGAGCACUAAUAGAUGAAUGUUGGUGCCAUAAUAAAACAGUAUAAGGCAUAUUUACACCAUCUUUACAUAGAGAACACCAUAUACACAGGAAAACCACAGAUCUGGAACAAAAUUAAUUCAAUCCCCUACACACCUUAUAUAUAUCAGCUUGGCCUGAAACAAAUAUUCAUCCAAGCAACCUACUGGUCUUUCCUUUUUCGUGUGUGACUUAAUUUUAACAUUAUGCUCAUGCAAAAGAGAGAUUUGCUUUAUUGCGUUAACAAUGAGACAGUUGGGGACUGGGUUCUAUAACCAUCUUCUAAUAUUUUAUACUUCAUGUUGCUUCAUCCAUAUUAAGUCAUGUUUGUUGGUGACAUAACAUGGGGUGAUAUGAUGACUGGUGUUUGAUGGACUACAAAAUGACAAGAUGUCCAGUUGGCUAGAGCUUGAAAAAUCAAGAUUCCAAGAUUCUUGAUCAUGCACAUUUCCACUUCACGCUUACAAACUGCUUUAGAUCAGACACAUCAUUUUUCAUUUUGUAUGUGUUUGUUUCAUUUCUUUGUUUUUUUUUUCAUUUUUUUUAAAAAAAGAAACAAAACCAGGUACUGUCCACCAUCUACUGUGUACAGAAAGAGGAGCAGCAGCAAGGACCACACCAACUGCAGAAUAGACCAUAAGGAGGACAUCAGUCAGGAAUCAGAGGUUCUGCCUCAACCACUUGGCACACUGUCUCAACUUCCAGCCAGAAGACUGGGCCCAUAAGUAAGAAAAGCACCCUUCAACCUCAUUGAAGGAAUCUAUUCCUAGCCUUGUUUCACACCAACAUUGCUAUCCAUCAUCAGAACACCUGCCAUGAACCUACCCAUCACACUACAAAAGAAUGUCUUUAGUGGGAUAUCCACCAUCACUUUCUCCCUCAUCCAACAGGCUUCCUGCGUAUCUAGACAAGGAACUCAACAUUUCUUCAGCCCUAAUUCCAUCAAGACUAACAAUAAAGAACUGCAGAAUGGAUACA